UUUUCCUACGGGGGGCAGCAGUGGGGGAUAUUGCACAAUGGGGGAAACCCUGAUGCAGCGACGCCGCGUGGGCGAAGAAGCGCCUCGGCGCGUAAAGCCCUGUCAGCAGGGAAGAAAAUGACGGUACCUGAAGAAGAAACCCCGGCUAACUACGUGCCAGCAGCCGCGGUAAUACGUAGGAUCCGAGCGUUAUCCGGAUUCAUUGGGUUUAAAGGGUGCGUAGGUUGUUUUAUAAGUUAGCGGUGAAAUACCGAUGCUCAACAUCGGGGCUGCCGCUAAUACUGUAGGACUAGAGAUCGGAUGCA
This 305-nucleotide ribosomal RNA is filed under the name uncultured bacterium. Its description in RNAcentral is "bacterial SSU rRNA". It matches the Rfam family "Bacterial small subunit ribosomal RNA", at positions 334 to 656 of the family's 1533-position model. The record is from RNAcentral.